Molecule: non-coding RNA, 77 nt
Organism: Aedes albopictus (Asian tiger mosquito)
Lineage: Eukaryota; Metazoa; Arthropoda; Insecta; Diptera; Culicidae
Source: Rfam
UGUUCUGUGGCGGAGCUGGUUAACGCGCCCUGUCUAGCGAACUUAGGGAGACGUGGGUUCUAACCCCAUCACAAUCA